UUCUUUCCAGAAGGUCUCUCUGUAGCUCUCUUACAUUUCUUUUUCUCUCUUCCCCGAGAGAUCCUAAAUGGGGUUCGUGGAGGAAGAACUCACCUUUUGGCAUGUGAGAAUAGCAACUAAAUGGAAAGAACAACGCACGCAGGAUUCAGGCGAUAAGAAGCCGCAGCACGACGUCCAAGGUUCAAAUCCCGCCAUACCCAGACACCCCACAAAAUAAUAAAAAGAAGAAAAGGCAUCUUGAACUCUAUUCUGGACAUGAGUAAAAUAGUGGCAGGCAAGAUGCAAUUGGAGGAGGGAGCUUUUCAUCGGAACCCUUGAGGAAGUGGUUGAUUUUUUUUUUGGGUUGCCGUGAAGAAUGGCGUAGAUGUUAUGUGAGAUCUCUAUGAUGGUACAGUAGAAAGAUAUUUUUGUGUGAAAGGUGAAUAUGAAAAGUUGAAGUUCAUGGCAGAGGAGCACAUUGUUGUUCAUGCGUGGGUCAUAAAGCCUAGGGAAGAAGCAUUUGUAGCUAACUCUAGCUAUAAGGGUAGUUUACUCAAUUCAUGGGGUUGUAUCAUGAGAUAGAGAUAGUGAUGAGCUUUUGAUAUUCAAGGGGUUUGGGUGAAGAUUCUAUAUAAUUUGCAUUUGAGCUGCUCCACUCGGGAAAGAAGUUCCAAUGCUGAUCGCCAUCUGGAUCACCCAAUUCAGGGUGAUCCUGGGUAAAAGUAUUUCAAAAGGAAAACAGUUAGCCGAAGCAUUGUUUCCAAUAAAAAGAAAUGGAUUCAAGAAGGUAUACAAGGAAUGGCCAAUCUGAACUGAGGAUUGCAAUGGAAACCAGACCAUGUCCGCUUUCAGGGACUCUGUGAUAUUAUGGAUAUUGGAAGGAAUCCUCGAUAUCUGGACCCUAUGGAUAUUGGAAG
Molecule: long non-coding RNA, 896 nt
Organism: Amborella trichopoda
Lineage: Eukaryota; Viridiplantae; Streptophyta; Magnoliopsida; Amborellales; Amborellaceae
Source: RefSeq, a predicted model, not a curated record